AUCACGGUGACUUAAGGGUAGAGUACCCCGCUAGAGACGUGGGUGGUACGAGUUCGAAUCCCGUCUGUGAUC
This 72-nucleotide transfer RNA is filed under the name Culex quinquefasciatus (southern house mosquito). It matches the Rfam family "tRNA". Rfam says of the family: Transfer RNA (tRNA) molecules are approximately 80 nucleotides in length. The record is from Rfam by way of RNAcentral. Lineage: Eukaryota; Metazoa; Arthropoda; Insecta; Diptera; Culicidae.